Molecule: long non-coding RNA, 603 nt
Filed under: Equus caballus (horse)
Lineage: Eukaryota; Metazoa; Chordata; Mammalia; Perissodactyla; Equidae
Description: lncRNA (ENSECAG00000047326.1)
Source: RNAcentral
GUAGGCACAACUGUCUCCAUCUCCUGGGUGAGGAAAUUGGGGCUCAGGGAGGUCACAUCACUUGCCCAGGGUCAUCCAACCGGUUCCCCUCCCAGGCAACUGCUUCAGUGGCCUCUGAAGACAGCAGGUAAAUGGAUAAACCAACUGAGUAUAUCCCUCCCGAGGACUACUUACUACUCAGCAACACAAAGAGAUGAGACAGUGAUACAGGCAGCCUGGACAAGAGGCAAAUCAUCAUGUGAGUGAAAGAAGGCAAACAAAAAAGUACCUACUAUAGGAUCCCACUCAUAUAAAGUGCAGAGAGUGUCAACUAAUCUAGAGGGCUGGAAAGAAGAUUGAUGGUUACAGGAGGACAAGGGGUAGUGCCAGGGGGAGGGACUAAAAAGGGGCACAUGGAAGGUUUGGGUGUUGGGUCCAUUCACUAUCUUGACUAUGCUGAUGGUUUCACGGUUAUAUACAUGUGUUGAAAUUUAUCAAAUUCUACGCUUUAAAUAUGUGUGGUUUAUUAUAUGUCAAUGUUAUCUCAAAAAAGCUGUUUACAAAAAAACAAGUUGCAGAGGCCUUGGACACAGCCCACCCAGGUGAGCCAAGUGCUUCCGCCCA